GACGAACGCUGGCGGCGUGCUUAACACAUGCAAGUCGAACGGUAAGGCCCUUUCGGGGGUACACGAGUGGCGAACGGGGGAGUAACACGUGGGUGAUCUGCCCUGCACUUUGGGAUAAGCCUGGGAAGCUGGGUCUAAUACCGGAUAGGACUACGCGAUGCAUGUCGUGUGGUGGAAAGCUUUUGCGGUGUGGGAUGGGCCCGCGGCCUAUCAGCUUGUUGGUGGGGUGAUGGCCUACCAAGGCGACGACGGGUAGCCGGCCUGAGAGGGUGUCCGGCCACACUGGGACUGAGAUACGGACCAGACUCCUACGGGAGGCAGCAGUGGGGAAUAUUGCACAAUGGGCGCAAGCCUGAUGCAGCGACGCCGCGUGGGGGAUGACGGCCUUCGGGUUGUAAACCCCUUUCAGCACAGACGAAGCUUAAGUGACGGUACGUGCAGAAGAAGCACCGGCCAACUACGUG
RNAcentral lists this ribosomal RNA (464 nucleotides) under uncultured bacterium. Its description in RNAcentral is "partial 16S ribosomal RNA". It matches the Rfam family "Bacterial small subunit ribosomal RNA", at positions 28 to 507 of the family's 1533-position model. The record is from RNAcentral.